AGUGGCUUUACUAUUGGAGGGAUGUAAAUUGGUGGCUUUGGCUUGUAGAGUGGAACUGGUGGUGGAAGUGGCUUUACUAUUGGAGGGAUGUAAAUUGGCGGCUUUGGCUUGUAGAGUGGAACUGGUGGUGGAAGUGGCUUUACCACCGGAGGUUUGUAAAUUGGUGGCUUUGGCUUUGGUUUGUAGAUUGGAACUGGUGGUGGAAGUGGCUUUACCACCGGAGGUUUGUAAAUUGGUGGCUUUGGCUUUGGUUUGUAAAUUGUAACUGGUGGUGGAAGUGGCUUUACCAUCGGAGGUUUGUAACCUGCUGGCUUUGGCUUGUAGAUUGGAACAGUUGGCUUUGGUUUGUAGAUUGGAACAGGUGGUGGAAGUGGCUUUACCAUCGGAGGUUUGUAAACUGGUGGCUUUGGCUUUGGUUUGUAGAUUGGAACAGGUGGUGGAAGUGGCUUUACCACCGGAGGUUUGUAAAUUGGUGGCUUUGGCUUUGGUUUGUAGAUUGGAAUUGGAG
RNAcentral lists this long non-coding RNA (508 nucleotides) under Olea europaea (common olive). RNAcentral describes it as "long non-coding RNA (OEUR_LNC009248)". The record is from RNAcentral. Lineage: Eukaryota; Viridiplantae; Streptophyta; Magnoliopsida; Lamiales; Oleaceae.